UCCGUAGAUAUAACUGAAGGCCUCUGCUUGGCUUUCCGUAUGACGUCACGCGCGUUAUUUUUUAUAGUCCACCGGCAGUAGGCGACGAGCCGCCGGCUUGGGAACACGUCUUUUUGUGAUCGUGGAAUGUCGUGCCUGCAGUGUGCUACCUCGGCGUGUGAUGAGUGCGCGCGCGAUAUUGCAGUCUCUGCGUGGUCGUGUUACUGAUUUGUGGACAUAAGAGACGUACCACUUAAGCGUUGUGUGCAGAGGUGCCGCGCAAACUACCCUAUCAAGCCGGUGUUGUUCUACUUCCCGAAGGACGAAAGCCGCCGUCAUAAGUUGUUAUGGGCUAUACUGGGGAAGCAAUACGAAGCGAACAGCUCUACGUAGGUGCAAAGAUAAACGAAUGUUGAACUUCCAAGUACUUACUGCCAAUUUCCAUCUCUUCGAUUUCAUUAUCAGCAUCUGCAAAAUGUACAAGGAGGAUUGUGGCUCAAACAAAUAGUGAAAGAUGCAAGUCCUGCAAAGCCCUUCAAAAAAGACCUGAAGCAAAUUCUCUAACCUAAUAGAGUCCAGUCUGUCUCGCAACUCCUUCACAGGAUCAACUUUUUCAGGCU
This is a long non-coding RNA of Dermacentor albipictus, 599 nucleotides long. RefSeq lists it as uncharacterized. Lineage: Eukaryota; Metazoa; Arthropoda; Arachnida; Ixodida; Ixodidae. The record is from RefSeq and is a predicted model, not a curated record.